GGAGAAGUGAAAGCACACAAUAUGCCAGCGCAGGGCUGGAUCUUUAACUUGUAACAGUGACAGACACACAAAAGCCUGUCUGCUUUAUCUGACAACAAAUCGGAGAGAUUUCAAGUUUGACAUCAGCUUAGAAGAGAAUUGUAACAAAGCAAGGAAGUAGAAGGGAGAAAUAGGAUAUGCUGCACAGUCAACACAUUCAUCAGCAUUCGCUCAGUUCAUUCAACACAUAACUCAUCAGCAUAUGCAGCUUAGUUAACGAAUGCCCAUGUAAUCACUCAUAUAAUUAACUCACAAACACUCUCCGAAGGAUAAGCGGCAAGCGAGCGACAAAGGAUGUGAUAUCAUAAACAGAAUAGAAAGGUUUAUAUCAAGCAAUAUAAACAGGCUGUCAAGGUUGGGACACCUUACCAUUAAAAAAAAAAAAAAAAAAAACAUUUACAAAGAGAUUUACAAUGAGCCAAACACACGUCAAAGCUGUGCAAGAUAUAUCUGAAGAAGAAGGAGGCAGUGAUGUCUGUAAUGGAAUGGCCUGUGCAGUCACCCAACCUUAAAUCAAUCAAGCUGCUCUGAAGAUCUGUUGGAUCGAAAGGUUCUGGAGAGAGAAAGGUGUCCAACCAAUUCAGUUCCAUUCAAUUUUAUUUGUAUAGCACUUUUAACAGUGGGCAUCAUCAUAAAGCAGCUUUACAGAAAUCUGGAUGUAGAUUAGGAUCCCUAAGCAAAACAGAGGAAACAGUGGCAAGGGAAAAACUCCCUGAGAUGACAUGAGGAAGAAUCCUUGAGCAGAACCCAACUCUAAAGGGAACACAUCCUCUUCUGGGUGACCCUGGAUAGUGUGAUUAUACAUCCAGCAUCACAGAAUCAUAGAAGAUAUUUUUACAGACCAUGGUGUAUCUGAGGAAGGAAGAACAAAUCCACAUAGUUCUACUCUUAGGAAUUUGUGCAUUGCAAGAAUGAUGGACAGAUUGAGCAAGUUCUGUAAAUAAAAGCUUUUCUCUUAUCAUGCUGGACUUAUGGGACAGCCUGUAGAUCAUUACUCUCCUACAACUGUAUACUAUAAAUUCAAGCAUUUACUGAGUGUGUUGAAAGGAUGUUCAGUCUAAGCAUGUUGUGAAUAAGAGCAGGAUAGUCUCUAUGAUUACAGGAGCGGUUCUUAGAUGGGAC
Molecule: long non-coding RNA, 1161 nt
Organism: Ictalurus punctatus (channel catfish)
Lineage: Eukaryota; Metazoa; Chordata; Actinopteri; Siluriformes; Ictaluridae
Source: Ensembl